Molecule: ribosomal RNA, 786 nt
Filed under: Triticum aestivum (bread wheat)
Lineage: Eukaryota; Viridiplantae; Streptophyta; Magnoliopsida; Poales; Poaceae
Description: partial small subunit ribosomal RNA
Source: RNAcentral
AUGUACACCCCUGCACCUGAAGACUUGCUAAGUUUUGGACAAUUCCCUCCAAUGCAUAAUUAUAAUUUUCAACCUCCGCAAGUGCAGCAUCCUGUACAAGGGCACCAAAAUAUGGAUACCAAUCAACCGGCUGAUGGUUCCGAUGAUGAAGCUGAAGCAAGUAUCAUUGAUCCUUCCUCCCUCUACACACUAGAUCACUACCUUGUCCAGAUGGACAUGUUAGACUCAUUCGCCAAGGAGAUCGCAAUAGAAGUGAAGGAAAGCCUUGACGCUCAAGGAAGAUCAAGCAGAAGUGGUCCGAGGAUUUACGUGAACAGGCCACGUGAAGAAGCUGCUGAGCAAUUGGUAUGCGACUAUUUCUGUGAUAAUCCUAUCUACAAGAAGAAGGUAUUUCGUAGAAGAUUUCGGAUGAGAAGGCCCCUUUUCGAGCGUAUCGUACAUGCACUAGGAGAGUGGUCUCCAGAGUUCACGCAAAGGAAAGAUGCUCUUGACCGUGAUGGACUAUCUCCAUUGCAGAAAUGCACAUCAGCUAUUCGCCAAUUGGCAUAUGGUACUCCGGCGGACGCUCUCGAUGAGUACCUGAAGAUUGCCGAGUGCACAUCAAUUAAGUGCUUAAAGCUGUUCGUCAAAGGCAUGAUUCAUAUAUUUGGUGAUGAGUAUAUGCGAAAACCCAAUGUCAACGAUGUGCAGCGCUUACUUGAUAUUGGAGAGAGUCGUGGGUUUCCUGGCAUGUUAGGAAGCCUCGACUGUAUGCACUGGCGUUGGGACAAAUGUCCCAUGGAGUGA